RNAcentral lists this ribosomal RNA (714 nucleotides) under Triticum aestivum (bread wheat). RNAcentral's name for it is "partial small subunit ribosomal RNA". The record is from RNAcentral. Lineage: Eukaryota; Viridiplantae; Streptophyta; Magnoliopsida; Poales; Poaceae.
AUGGAUGGUGAUUGGUGUAGUUUGGAAGAGCUCCAGCCUCUUUCCCAGCUUAGGGAAAUUGGAUUAGCAAGUCUGGAGAAUGUAUCUGCUGCCUCAUUUGCCACAAAGGCGAGGCUGAGUGAAAAGGUCUAUCUUUCCUGCAUGGCCUUAUACUGUAAGAGCAGACUGGGCGGUGAUGGAUUAGCCAAGGAAGAAGUUUCUGAGCAGGAUCAAGGAACAAUUAUGGAGGUGUUUGAUGAGCUCUGUCCUCCGCCUUAUGUGCAAGAUAUUCGCAUCCAAGGGCGUCAACUCCCAAAAUGGAUGAUGUCGACAGCAACGACUCCCCUCAAUAGCUUGAGGAUACUAAUAAUUGAAGACCUGGCUUGUUGCACCCAACUCCCUGAUGGCUUGUGUCAGCUCCCAUAUCUGGAGUACCUGGAGGUCAACCGUGCUCCAGCAAUCAAGCGUGUCGGUCCUGAAUUCUUGCAGCCCUAUAGUCACCAUCACCAUGCUGCAUUUCAGGCGCUAGCUCCAUUUCCGAGACUGAACAAGAUGAUCUUUAGGAAAAUGGUGGAAUGGGAGGAGUGGGAUUGCGAGGAGGAAGUGCAAGCUAUGCCUGUCUUGGAGGAGCUUAUAAUCCAUGGUUGUAAACUGAGGCGUAUUCCUCUCGGCCUUGUGUCCCAUGCAAGGGCUUUGAAAAAGCUAACCAGAUGGUCCAUUCUGAAAGCUGAAUAA